RNAcentral lists this long non-coding RNA (1410 nucleotides) under Gouania willdenowi (blunt-snouted clingfish). Its description in RNAcentral is "lncRNA (ENSGWIG00000008964.1)". Lineage: Eukaryota; Metazoa; Chordata; Actinopteri; Blenniiformes; Gobiesocidae. The record is from RNAcentral.
CAUCAAUCUCUAGAAGAACCAAACCUCAGCACCAACCUGUUCAUCAUGAUGAUCAGAAUCCUCUGCCUGAGCGUCCUCGUGCUGCUUUUCUGCACAGACAUUGAAGCUAAAAAAGAAAAGACCGAAAAGACCGAAAAGUUCAAAAAGUUCAAGUGUUUCACUUGUACAGAGAAAUACUGCAAAAAACAACAGUAUUGUAGUGAAGGACAGGUCUGCAUGAGCGCCUCUGUUAUCGGUACUGUUUGCUUCUCUUCAUUUCCUUUGAUAGACAAACAGUGACCGGCUUGGCUUUGCAUGCUAAUCCACUUUAUACCUUACAGAAGUCACACAUGGACAUCAGAAUAAAUCCUACUACAGGUCCUGUACGUCACCUUCAUACUGUCCAAAGAGUGAAAAAGCAGAGACCUUGUCCAUCGGCUUGGGUUAUCAGGUGUUUGUGGCGAACGUUAAGUGCUGCAAGUCCCAUCUCUGCAACAAAAAACGUCAACCCCGUAAGACCUUUGAAACACAAUCAAACUAAUGCUGCUCCAUACUCUGUGGGUAGUUUACACUGGUGUGUUAUGCUGUUCUUUUCAGACCCUAAGAUACCAUCAGGAAAUGGGUUGACGUGCCUUUUCUGCAGCAACACUAAAAACCCAAAGGAAUGCAAAGUCAAGGAAUGCAUUGGAAAUCAAACUCACUGCGUGCAAGUAAUCAGAAAUGGAACUCAUCAGAGUGGGUGUGCAACUAAAAACUUCUGUCACCCCAACAAGAUACUUGGACGCUACAAGCCUGUUAAUGGCUUCGCUGGUGCCCUCAGUUUUCCAGCUGAGUGUGAGAAAGCAAAACCUGCACCUGAGCCAACAACUGCUGAACCAACAACUGCUGAACCAACAACUGCUGAACCAACAACUGCUGAACCAAAGUGUGUUCCAGUUGAAACCACUCCUGAACCAACCCUUCCACCCUGUGAUAGAAAGGGAUAACUACUCCCACCACGUAAAACCAGUUUCUUUGUCUUGCUGACAAAAUCAUUAAAAGGUUGAUUAAAGUCUGGGUGAAUCUUUAGUGGAUCCUACAUCAAACAUAGAGAUCUUAACAAACUUAUCAGACCACCACCCACUGUGAGCUUAAAUCACAGCAUUGGUAAAUAUCUUUGUUUCUGUCAUUUGGCUAAUCUCCUAAACAAAAAAAAUGGUUGGUGGUUGAAUACAUUUGUUAACCAACUCAUGUGAUGUUUUGCUUUUAGUGAUGUUAUUAGAUGAUGAAUUAAUGAAGAUCAAAGCUUCUUUCAAAGGAGCUUUGAUGACUUCUAACUUCUAAAUGUGACUCUUUUAGUAAAGGUAGCAGGGCUGAGUUUCUAAUGCUUUCUUAAAAUGCUUUCUGCAUGGGAACAAUCAUUAAAGAGGUGAAAUAAAACUAUCAGCAAAC